This 140-nucleotide ribosomal RNA is filed under the name uncultured bacterium. RNAcentral's name for it is "partial 16S rRNA". It matches the Rfam family "Bacterial small subunit ribosomal RNA", at positions 355 to 510 of the family's 1533-position model. The record is from RNAcentral.
UGGGGAAUUUUCCGCAAUGGGCGAAAGCCUGACGGAGCAAUGCCGCGUGGAGGUGGAAGGCCUACGGGUCGUCAACUUCUUUUCUCAGAGAAGAGACAAUGACAGUAUCUUAGGAAUAAGCAUCGGCUAACUCUGUGCCG